Cyanistes caeruleus (blue tit) is the source of this 1112-nucleotide long non-coding RNA. RefSeq lists it as uncharacterized. The record is from RefSeq and is a predicted model, not a curated record. Lineage: Eukaryota; Metazoa; Chordata; Aves; Passeriformes; Paridae.
CUGGUAUACCUUCUUCCAAGGGAAGCUAAGGAGUGACAGACCCUUUGUUCUAAGCAGCCCUAUCACAAUCUGCACUCUAAAUUCUCUAGGAUACCUGCCAAGUCUCGCCUACGCCUGUGCCCUGCACCCGCCACUUGCUGUCAGCUCCCACGUCCCUCCCUCUGCCCCGCUACCAGAAAAUAAUCACAUUUCCAUCAGCUCAGGGUGCAAUCGGGGCAAUCCCACUCGACCCAGGAUCAGCAUUAUUUGCCCAGUGUUCCCCACAGGGCUGCAGCACCUGAGCUUGGUGGGGAAACCGCAAGAAAGGCCCUAUUUCCAUCGGCAAGCGAGGAUGUGCACAUGAGACAGAUUCAUCUGAACACAUAUUAAUAUCAUUUGGCCUAACAUUUAGCACUUGAUUUUCUGUUUAGCUGACCUAGCCUGAGUGCUCAGCCAGAGGAAGCCCUGUGAUCUCAAAAGGCAACGUCAAAAAGCAGAAAAACCCAACACAAAACACACCCAAAGACCCAGAAAAUCUGGAGCGUGGCGGCAGGAAAAACUGAGGCGGAGUGUCUGCUCUGCAAAUGAUUUUCCAGUUGACAUUUCCCCCGGGCCCUCCCUGAAGAGCCCCGUGCAGGCCGGGCUGUUUGGGCCGGGGAUGGGCUGGGCCGCGGCAGGCAGCCCCUCACGGGACAGCCACACAGCUCAGAGAGCACUUGAUUCAAAAAAGCACCGGUUUACAACCCUAAGCAAACUCUCUGAAAGAAUGUGUUUGCCCACGCAGCGCUGCUGAGAGGCACGGAAGAAAGCGAUUUUAAGGGCUCUUUAAACUGGAAUGUAGACGUAUCAAAGGUAAAACCCUGAAGUGCACAGGUCUCAAAUUCCUCCCACUGAGCCCUGCCAGGACCAGCCCUCCUGCAGUCUCCUCAGAGGCAGAGCAGAACAGAAUUAUCUCAGUGCCAUCUUAGAGAUGCCAUAUGGCCACCACUCCUGAAUUCACUUUGGUCACCAGUUUGUGUUAAGAGAUGACACCAACCUGCAGCAUUUCAGCUACACUGUGAUUACUGCUACAGCUCUAGAAGCACACAUUGCAAUUGUGAAAUUGCUAAUAAAAUGAAUAAAUGGGUGGGGGA